AAGACACAGAAGUUGUGCUUUUGCGUGUUGUUUCCCUAGGUAGGACAUGUUCACGAAAAAUCAAAGUGAGGAAAAAAGAACUAAAGUCCCAGAAAUGUGUAUUCUGCCUCAAUUAGAAAGCCAGCACUUGAUGCAUCUGUGGAUAGAUGAUGUGAGGCAUCUUCAAGCAACUGUAUGCAUGACAACAUGUGCAAGACAGGGAAAUAACCUAGCAGAAAAGAUUGACACCACAGUGAAAUACUGGCUUUGUGUAGGUGGCUCUGUUAUGUUAUCAGAUUUGUGCUUUUGCAGUGAUAGCCAUUUUUAGUAAGAUUAUUAAAUCUAAUCUUCUGAAAAAUGAGGAGGAGGAAGGUUUUCCAACCCUGAUUGCUAUGUAAUUCUGCACAAAUGCAGAAAAAGCACAGCACAGCACUUGAUAUUCGGUAUGCACAUAUACACUCUGCCUGAUGCAUUUUGCAGAUGAUCUUGGUGGGGUGGGUAGCAAAAGAGGUUUUGACUGUGCUGUUUUGCAAACAGCUGAAACAGUUAACUUGGGGAAAACAUGUUGUGCGUACCAUGUUUAUUAUAAUAAAAUCUUCCAUUAUAAUAAAAUCUUCAGUUUUUUUCCAA
This is a long non-coding RNA of Hemicordylus capensis (graceful crag lizard), 609 nucleotides long. RefSeq lists it as uncharacterized. Lineage: Eukaryota; Metazoa; Chordata; Lepidosauria; Squamata; Cordylidae. The transcript is spliced from 2 exons. The record is from RefSeq and is a predicted model, not a curated record.